GACGUAGGGCGCGAGCGUUGUCCGGAUUUAUUGGGCGUAAAGAGCUCGUAGGCGGUCUGUCACGUCGGAUGUGAAAACUCGGGGCUCAACCCCGAGCCUGCAUACGAUACGGGCAGACUUGAGUUCGGCAGGGGAGACUGGAAUUCCUGGUGUAGCGGUGAAAUGCGCAGAUAUCAGGAGGAACACCAGCGGCGAAGGCGGCGCUCUGGGCCGGUACUGACACUGAGGAGCGAAAGCGUGGGUAGCAAACAGG
RNAcentral lists this ribosomal RNA (253 nucleotides) under uncultured bacterium. RNAcentral's name for it is "partial 16S ribosomal RNA". It matches the Rfam family "Bacterial small subunit ribosomal RNA", at positions 524 to 776 of the family's 1533-position model. The record is from RNAcentral.